This 427-nucleotide ribosomal RNA is filed under the name uncultured bacterium. RNAcentral describes it as "bacterial SSU rRNA". It matches the Rfam family "Bacterial small subunit ribosomal RNA", at positions 355 to 774 of the family's 1533-position model. The record is from RNAcentral.
UGGGGAAUUUUGGACAAUGGGCGCAAGCCUGAUCCAGCCAUGCCGCGUGCAGGAUGAAGGCCUUCGGGUUGUAAACUGCUUUUGUACGGAACGAAAAGGUGCCUUCUAAUAAAGGGCGCUCAUGACGGUACCGUAAGAAUAAGCACCGGCUAACUACGUGCCAGCAGCCGCGGUAAUACGUAGGGUGCGAGCGUUAAUCGGAAUUACUGGGCGUAAAGCGUGCGCAGGCGGUUUUGUAAGACAGAUGUGAAAUCCCCGGGCUUAACCUGGGAACUGCGUUUGUGACUGCAAGGCUGGACUACGGCAGAGGGGGGUGGAAUUCCACGUGUAGCAGUGAAAUGCGUAGAGAUGUGGAGGAACACCGAUGGCGAAGGCAGCCCCCUGGGCCUGUACUGACGCUCAUGCACGAAAGCGUGGGGAGCAAACA